UACGGAGGGUGCAAGCGUUGUUCGGAAUCAUUGGGCGUAAAGCGGGUGUAGGCGGCUUGGCAAGUCGAGUGUGAAAUCCCUGGGCCCAACCCAGGAACUGCACUCGAAACUGCCUCGCUAGAGUCCCGGAGAGGGUGGCGGAAUUCCCGGUGUAGAGGUGAAAUUCGUAGAUAUCGGGAGGAACACCAGUGGCGAAGGCGGCCACCUGGACGGUGACUGACGCUCAGACCCGAAAGCGUGGGGAGCAAACAGG
Molecule: ribosomal RNA, 253 nt
Filed under: uncultured bacterium
Lineage: Bacteria
Description: partial 16S ribosomal RNA
Rfam family: Bacterial small subunit ribosomal RNA
Source: RNAcentral